AGCGAACGCUGGCGGCAGGCCUAAUACAUGCAAGUCGAGCGCACCUUCGGGUGAGCGGCGGACGGGUGAGUAACGCGUGGGAACGUGCCCUUUGGUACGGAACAACUGAGGGAAACUUCAGCUAAUACCGUAUGUGCCCUUCGGGGAAAGGAUUUAUCGCCAUUGGAGCGGCCCGCGUUGGAUUAGGUAGUUGGUGAGGUAAAGGCUCACCAAGCCUACGAUCCAUAGCUGGUCUGAGAGGAUGAUCAGCCACACUGGGACUGAGACACGGCCCAGACUCCUACGGGAGGCAGCAGUAGGGAAUCUUGCGCAAUGGGCGAAAGCCUGACGCAGCCAUGCCGCGUGAAUGAUGAAGGUCUUAGGAUU
This 366-nucleotide ribosomal RNA is filed under the name uncultured bacterium. Its description in RNAcentral is "bacterial SSU rRNA". It matches the Rfam family "Bacterial small subunit ribosomal RNA", at positions 29 to 424 of the family's 1533-position model. The record is from RNAcentral.